GAUGAACGCUGGCGGCGUGCCUAAUACAUGCAAGUCGAGCGAACAGAUGAGGAGCUUGCUCCACUGACGAUAGCGGCGGACGGGUGAGUAACACGUGGAUAACCUACCUAUAAGACUGGGAUAACUUCGGGAAACCGGAGCUAAUACCGGAUAAUAUAUUUAAACGUAUGGUUCAAUAGUGAAAGACGGUUUUGCUGUAACUUAUAGAUGGAUCCGCGCCGCAUUAGCUAGUUGGUAAGGUAACGGCUUACCAAGGCGACGAUGCGUAGCCGACCUGAGAGGGUGAUCGGCCACACUGGAACUGAGACACGGUCCAGACUCCUACGGGGGGCAGCAGAAGGGAAUCUUCCGCAAUGGGCGAAAGCCUGACGGAGCAACGCCGCGUGAUUGAUGAAGUUCUUCGGAUCGUAAAACUCUGUUAUUAGGGAAGAACAAAUGUGUAAGUAACUAUGCACGUCUUGACGGUACCUAAUCAGAAAGCCACGGCUAACUACGUG
This 497-nucleotide ribosomal RNA is filed under the name uncultured bacterium. RNAcentral's name for it is "partial 16S ribosomal RNA". It matches the Rfam family "Bacterial small subunit ribosomal RNA", at positions 28 to 507 of the family's 1533-position model. The record is from RNAcentral.